Long non-coding RNA from Bacillus rossius redtenbacheri, 5016 nucleotides. RefSeq lists it as uncharacterized. The transcript is spliced from 2 exons. Lineage: Eukaryota; Metazoa; Arthropoda; Insecta; Phasmatodea; Bacillidae. The record is from RefSeq and is a predicted model, not a curated record.
GUUAGCCAUGCAGGAGAGGUCGCAUGCAUCAUGUGCUAGGAGGGAAUUGGUCAGCCAUGGCCACCAUUAGUGCCAUGACAAACUCCCCUCACUGACUACUCUAGACUAACACUAGAUAAGGUGGGCCCAGGUGAAGCCUCUAUUGACAGAGGGAAAACCCUGGGUUCAUUCAUGCUGGAUGCAAAAUUAAUGUAUUAAUUAACAAGCAGGUUGGUUACGGGAACAGAAGGGUUGUUCUGGAAGAAGAGUUGGACAGAGUAAAAAAGCACUACUAAGCGAAGGUGGUGAGCUUGGACUGUUUGGUCCGUGUUCCCGCCAUGAUGCCAGCCAGCACACAUUCUUAAACUAGAAAUAUCAGUAUGAAUGUGUACAUGUGUAUGGGAUUAUUCUUGGGCGCUUCGCCAUUCAAGGUCUCAGGAGACCAAAAAAGUGGAAAAUCAGACGAUAAUUCGAGCCCUGCUGGGCCGAAACACGACAGUAUUUUUCGCCUACACGGAAGGACCUACAGGGAGGGCUACGUCGGUGUUGGGCGUUGUAUGUCAAUUAGAACCAUAUUAUACUUAAUAAUACUUAAUACUAUGAGCUGCCAGCUUAGGAUUGCAAGAACUGUGCUUUUUCGCUCCGCGCGCAUUGGCCGGCAGUCUGCGCGGCCAAUCACGCGCGACUAUGGCGGCCGGUGGGCAAGGAGCGAUUUCGGCCGCUUAUAUUUUUGUCUUACGUCCGGAUCAAAAUUUCCGAGCGAUACAGCAUGUGGGUUUUAACUAUUUACGCAUUUAUCGUAAAAUGUUUCUGGGGUUCGAAUGUAAAAGUCUUGCAAAGUUUCCGUGUCCGUUUCACAAUGCAAGGCUUCUGUAGGGUAAUACAUUGGAGCGUCUGUAGCUAUUCGAAUACAUUUAUUCUGAAUUCGCUGCAGCUUUAAUAAAUGUGUUUUCGCAGUGGUUGCCCAGACUGGGGCUGCGUACGUAAUAAUAGGGUGAAUCAGUGUUUUGUAGAGCACAGUAAACCGUUCGUUACUGUGCCUCCACAUCGCCUGCUCAUUACUGGAUAUAGUGAGCUUAGUCUAACCUCAGUUUGAAUUCUCUAGGCAUCUAUAUGAUGGUGCCAGAGAAGCUUCCUGUCCAUGUGGACGCCUAGAUAUUUUACGACGUCCUUGUGUGGAAUUUGUUCGCCAAACAAACGUAUUUAUGGCCUGUGUUCUACAGGUGGAAGAUUUCCGCGAGUAAACACAAUAGCUUCGGACAUCGUUGUGUUCACUUUGCUAAGCCAGGUCGUACACCAUUGCUAGCACACAGCUAAUGCAUCCGUUUUUUUUCCUAGCCUAAUUUAAUCUAAGCUAAUGCAGUCUGGUAGUGGCUAGGUGAAGUGUGUAUGAUCUGCUAUACAGAAACGUGUCGUUUGCAUAGCACAUAGCAGCCUAACUUCACUAGGCGGUGUUCGGGGCGUGGCAAAUCUCUAGAAGGCUAUAUAUGUUAAAUAGAACAGGGCCUAGAAUACUGCCCUGUGGUACGCCUGCUCUUAUUUGUUUGAUGUCAGACAUAGUUCUUUAAGUUGAUACUGAAAACGUUCUGUCUUCUAGGUAGGACGCGACUAGCUUGGUAUAGCAGACCAGGAAAUUAGUUUGAUAUAGUUUGUAUAGAUUAGCCCCGCGUGAUAAACUCUGUCGAAGGCUUUUUCUACGUCUAAAAACGUCGCAACUACAUAAUCUUUUACGUUGAAGGCGCUUGUUAUCUCUUCAGUGAGGCGUAUGAGUUGGUGCACUGUCAAGUGAUUACUGCGAAAAAUCGAAUGGCCUAAGUGUACAGGCCUGCCCGAUCCGCGGACGAAUAUUUUCACGUUCUGCGCGCAUACUUUUCGUUGGUGAUACUGCCGACGAGCGCGGGUUUGAAUGGUAGUUUGAUGAUAUGAAUUGACAAACUGCUAGACUGUGUGUAAUAUAGUUACCCAAAUAACACUAAAACAACAAAAAUGAAUUAAAUAAUAAAUAACCAUCUCUUUUAAAACUAUAACGUGUCAGAACUGAGUGUUAUUGUGCAAACAAAGACUAAUUUUAGCAAAGAUUAUUGCACGAAGUAAGGGAGGUAGGGUUAUAUGAAUGGUCAAAAUAAGUUUUUAUAGCAACUGAUCUUGAGAAAAUGAUUUUUUUGUUUGUGUAGGCCUCAACUUUGACAGCUGAGUAAAGUUUAUUUAAACAAAGGCACAGCAUUUCAAUAAGUGUUUUAUUUUUUAAUGAAUUUCUGAAUUAUAACCUUGUCACAAAUUUUUAUGUAGGAUACAUACAGAUGCAAGUUUAUUAUAAACUGAACUAUUAGUAUUAAUGUUUAUACGUUUCAUUUAGAAAAUAAAUUUAGCUCAUAUUGUUACAUGAAUUAAUAUAUCUGAUACGCUUACUUGCGUUAUUAAAAUAACUUGCAUUAACUUCGGAACAAUUGUAACGUGUCCCAAAUUUUCGGUUGUAAACGCAAACCAAAUAUUUUCAUUUAAUUAUAUUAUUAAUUGAUGUCAUGUUAUGUUGAUAGAACUAACAAAAAACGGCGAAAUAUAAAUUCAAAUUUUUGAUAUUCGUGCUUUAUUGUUUGGCUAUUUAUUUUGGCAAUUUUUCAUAGUUUAAGCACUUAUGAAAAUAUUUACAUAAAAUUCUUAUAAAUGUUUUUUGAGAUUCUUUAAUUAUGUGUGAUGAUUCUGCUAAUAGUUGUUGAGAUAAUUGAGGUAGAUUACCGGUAUUUUACCAUUUGUUUUGUAUUUUGUAUUACGUUAGCUACUUUUAAAAUACUUUUAAGUCAUUUGGAUGGUUGGUUAAGUUUUGUUAGCUUAAUUUAAAACAUUGUUUAAUCGUGUGAAUGGCUGGAGGGAUAAGGUAAUUUAAUUUCGAACACUGUUCAAUUAUUUGAAUGAUUGGUUGUAUACAAUAUUCAUUUAAAAUACUGUAUAUUGGUGUAAAUGUUUGGGUAAGUUACGUUAGCCACAUUAAAAAUACUUAACGGCGUUCUUCGGGAUAGGUGUUAUUCAAAAAACCAUUAAAUGUUCUUAAUGGAGAACCUUCUCUAGAAAAUUAGCAUUACUUGAAAUAGGGAUAACAAUCUGCAGGUAGAGAAGUAAAGAUUGUGUUAGGUAAGUUCCGGGAAGAGGAGUGGCAGAUUUUGCAUUUAAAACUGCAGAAUAAAAAGUACGAAUUUUUGAAAAAUUUAAAUAUUUAAGCUUUGUGAAACGAUUAAUAACCAUGCAACAUUUUUAAAUAAUCAAUAUUAAUAUUACAAGAGUGACAUAUUUUUAAUUAUAUAAUCUUGAUUUUUGAAAUAAAUGCUUUUUUUUUCGGAUGAGGUUGUACUAACCAGCGAAAUGAUUUUUUUUCCGUAUCUAAACUACCGCGUUAUUAUUUUCCUGCCUAGUAUUUUGUUAGUACAAUAUAUAGUACACAAUAUAUAGUGCACAAAAUAAUUUAUUACGGUUGUGGCAAACAACAGUUAACUGGUGUCACUGCUACAAAAGUUUAACAUUAUUUAGCCAAACUUGUGUUGUGAAUGUAUUACACUGAAAUAAAUAAUAAAAUCACUUCAGGCUAUAUAAAAAAAGAUUGUCAAAAUUAAAUGAUAUCGUAGCUUUCGUCCAUUCGAAACCUAAAUUGGGCGGAGACAAAACAAAAUACAGAAAAAAACUUAUUUUGUAAUAAAUGAGGCAAUAAAAUUAGUUAUAGGUAUCUAAUUUCUUAAUUUAUUUACUUGAAUGGAAAUAAAUUUGCCAUUAGAAUCAUCAUUUGUUGAUAACCGCCGUUCUAACAAAAUGUAAAACUCAGAUUAACGUAUAUUUCCGUAUACAUAGCCUACUUUAGCAAAAUAUCUCCAGAGUGACGUCACAAAUUGCUAGCCAGUGAAAGAGAAAGGUGCGCAAAAGGAUACAUAUAUAACUUCACGAUGAUUCACCCGUUAUGUUCACAGUUGACAGAACAGAAGAACGAAUGAAUAUCAAGCAAUGAUUUGUGUAACAUUUUCUUAAGUGUUAUGAGUACGUAAUAAAUAUUCUCGCAGAAACUGUAUGGUGUUAUGUAGGCUGAAGUAUCUAUUUAUUCGAUUUUUUAUUUAUUAGAAAACAAUUUGAUCCGAUUUCCGCAUAGUAGACGCAGCGUCGCACUGCGUGGCUGCGACUGGUUGAUAAUCGCUGGCUCCUCUGUGACAUUGUGGGCAUUGGUGAAUCAAGCUUGUCGUGAAUGUCAGUGCGCUUGCAAACUGACUCCCCUGCUGCAGCUCAUACACCGGUCGUCACUGGAUUCUGAUGUACUUUGUAAUAAUUAAGAUAGUUUCUGAACCAGAACAGUUGAUAAGCUACGGUCCUGAAUCAAAAAAGGUAAAUUUAAAAUGUGUCGUAACUUUAUCUUUGAGUCUCAUUUAGAAAAUGUUAACAUACUCACCUUUCAUUGUUAGGUACAUAUUUUUUUACACAAUCCCGCAUAACCCUGCAAGUUAUAAAAAUUCUUCCAAUGUAUGAAUUUCCCAAUUACAUACAUAUUGAUAAUGCCGAAUGUGGACUUUAUAUAUAUAUACACAUGCAUACUUACACAUAUAUGUAUAAUAAUUGAAAGAAAAUGUUUGCUUCAAUGUCUCCCCUAUAAAUAAUAAAUGAAUUACCUAUAUGAUUAAAUAUCCGUGUUCUUAGUGGAUAUAACUAGGAAAAUCUGCAUAAUUUGUAUGUAUUUUGGUAGUUAUUAAAAAAGUACAAUUAAACUUACAAUAUUAUGAAUUGUCAUACCUCUAAUGUUAAAUUUUACUCUUGUACAGAUAGCACACUGUAUCUAAGUAACAUAAUUAAGAUGUCACAGAUAUAAUAAUUAAUACUUAAUAAUUUUAUUCGACAAUGUGUUUCCGAUUCAUUUGACUUCUUGCAAAUGGGUUAUAAAUUAAGUAUAACUCCAGAGACGUACCAAAUUAGGUUACCUUGAAAAACUCAUGACGUCAGCGUGUAUGGUUUAUGUGUUAGGGAAAAUUUAUUCAAAUACUGUGUAUUAAAAAAGUGCAUGACAUGGUA